Molecule: long non-coding RNA, 1336 nt
Organism: Daphnia pulicaria
Lineage: Eukaryota; Metazoa; Arthropoda; Branchiopoda; Diplostraca; Daphniidae
Exons: 5
Source: RefSeq, a predicted model, not a curated record
UUUUUAGUUAAAUCUGUCCGCAGUGCGUUCAAGAUGUAACUGAAGGACCUGCUUUUCAUCUGUUCCGCAUUCUAAGAAAGUAACGAUCGACUCAUGUAUCAUAGGCGCACAAUCGGACAUGGAUAAGCGUACUUGUUGGGUAGUGUUGGGUAGUGUGUUUUUCUGAUCACCGAUUCGUUAAGAUUGCCCUCACACAAUUUCACAACUUGUUUUUCGAUCAAAACUCAAGAAGCUGAUUAUCAGCUGUUCGCAAUACUUCUGUACUUACUUAGCACUCUCAUGAGUCAUAAAAAUAAAGAACCCUAUCUAACCACUUCUUCAGCAGUCUCUGCCACUUCAAGACUCGAGAGAAAACAAUAGCCCACUUGACUGCAGCAUUUUCAUUUUGGUGUAUCUCAACUGUCAAUUCUCAAGGCAAGUUGAACGUUGAACGGCGAUGUUGAACUCUCAAACAAUUUAAAUUAGUGAUUACUGAUUGGCUUCUUAUUUAGAUUUUGCCUCUCAGACCCAAUGAGAGGCGUAUCUUUGUCCGUCCGGUUCUAUUUUCUUUAUUAUUUAUGAUUAUAAUUGUGUCCAUUGAUCAUCGACAAAACUUUUAGCAACACAACUGUGACAACAUGACGUAAGCAAAGCAGACGAAAAUAGGGGCUUUCGUCAUUCAUUUGUGUAGAUGUCACUGAAAUCGAUUGUUUUGAAAAUCUUCCCUAAAAAUGCAGUCACUUUUUUAUAUUUGUGAAAAUUCGACCCGUUGAAUAAAUCGCUCGAUUCCUUCUUUACAGCCGGCUUUUAAAUGAAUUCCUAACACUCAGUUACCGUUGACCAAGAGCCAUUAAGGGGGAGGUCAGUACCAUUCAUCGUGGCAACCUGGGGCUUGUCAAGUAAUAAGUUAUCCGAGCAAUCGCGAUUCCAUAAGCAUACACGGGAAAUUUAGUUCGAACUGAUUCCCGGUAGAGGGUUUUUCCCGUGUAUGCUUAUGGAAUCGCGAUUGCUCGGAUAACUUACUUUCUUGACUUGCCCCUGAUGAGUCAACAAUCAUCGUUAAGCUAGCUUCGAAAAUUAUCAAUGAUUCAUAGUCAGAGUAAACGUGAAAGUCAUGCAACCUACCGUCAACUAUUUUGUUCAAACUCAUUGUAUUCUACUGAAUGUGUCAUCGAAAUGAUACAGGAUUAAUCUUAAUUAUCGGCUGUUUCUAUUGAACUUGCUAGAUCACCGACCCCAGCAUGGAACAAUCUCUCAUUCAACAAUCUUAUAGAGAAUCUUGGAUAACUGAUUUAUGGUUUCAUGUGUUUCUAAAUUGGCAUGACUGACUAAUAUGAGAAGUUAUGUCCUUCCAAGA